RNAcentral lists this unclassified non-coding RNA (503 nucleotides) under uncultured Glomus. RNAcentral describes it as "SSU rRNA". It matches the Rfam family "Eukaryotic small subunit ribosomal RNA", at positions 569 to 1074 of the family's 1831-position model. The record is from RNAcentral. Lineage: Eukaryota; Fungi; Glomeromycota; Glomeromycetes; Glomerales; Glomeraceae.
AGCAGCCGCGGUAAUUCCAGCUCCAAUAGCGUAUAUUAAAGUUGUUGCAGUUAAAAAGCUCGUAGUUGAAUUUCGGAAUCAGUUCGUCGGUCGUGCCUUUGGUAUGUACUGGUGUUACUGGUUCCUCCCUUCUGACGAACCGUCAUGUCAUUAAUUUGGUGUGGCGGGAAAUCAGGACUGUUACUUUGAAAAAAUUAGAAUGUUUAAAGCAGGCUCGCGCUUGAAUACAUUAGCAUGGAAUAAUGAAAUAGGACGUUCGAUCCUAUUUUGUUGGUUUCUAGGAUUGACAUAAUGAUUAAUAGGGAUAGUUGGGGGCAUUAGUAUUCAAUUGUCAGAGGUGAGAUUCUUGGAUUUAUUGAAGACUAACUGCUGCGAAAGCAUUUGCCAAGGAUGUUUUCAUUAAUCAAGAACGAAAGUUAGGGGAUCGAAGACGAUCAGAUACCGUCGUAGUCUUAAACCAUAAACUAUAGCCGACUAGGGAUCGGAUGAUGUUAAUUUUUAAU